RNAcentral lists this transfer RNA (88 nucleotides) under Fibrobacter succinogenes subsp. succinogenes S85. Its description in RNAcentral is "tRNA-Ser". It matches the Rfam family "tRNA". Rfam says of the family: Transfer RNA (tRNA) molecules are approximately 80 nucleotides in length. Their secondary structure includes four short double-helical elements and three loops (D, anti-codon, and T loops). Further hydrogen bonds mediate the characteristic L-shaped molecular structure. tRNAs have two regions of fundamental functional importance: the anti-codon, which is responsible for specific mRNA codon recognition, and the 3' end, to which the tRNAs corresponding amino acid is attached (by aminoacyl-tRNA synthetases). tRNAs cope with the degeneracy of the genetic code in two manners: having more than one tRNA (with a specific anti-codon) for a particular amino acid; and 'wobble' base-pairing, i.e. permitting non-standard base-pairing at the 3rd anti-codon position. The record is from RNAcentral. Lineage: Bacteria; Pseudomonadati; Fibrobacterota; Fibrobacteria; Fibrobacterales; Fibrobacteraceae.
GGAGAGAUGCCAGAGUGGUCGAAUGGGCCGGUCUCGAAAUCCGGAGUCUGUCACAGGACCGAGGGUUCGAAUCCCUCUCUCUCCUUUG